AUGAGAUGUUGGGAAUUGCCACUAACUACUACAAGGAGCUCUUUAAGAAAGAGAGUAGGGAAGGUUUUAGCAUUCAAUGACUUCUUCUACUUAGAAGAGAGAGUGAAAGAUCUAGAUAACCAAGCUCUCCAAAAAUCUUUUUCUGAGGAAGAGGUGAGAGAGGCCAUUUUUGGAUCAUACUCUGAUGGAGCUCCUGGUCUAGAUGGACUCUCUUUCCUCUUCCUCCAGAACUUCUGGGAAACCAUUAAACAUGAUAUUGUGGCAAUGUUUGAUGAUUUUCAUAAAGUAAAGCUUGACAUUUACAGGCUAAAUUUUGCAAUGCUAACUCUUAUACCUAAAGAGAAAGAUGCUACUAGCAUGAAAAAAUUUAGGCCUAUCAGUCUCUUAAACUGUAUUUUUAAAGAUUUUACUAAAGUUCUCACAAAUAGAUUAGCAUUAUUGAUGAAUACUCUCACCUCUAGCAACCAAACCACCUUUAUCAAAGGCAGGUAUAUCCUUGAAAGUGUGGUUACU
This 513-nucleotide ribosomal RNA is filed under the name Triticum aestivum (bread wheat). RNAcentral's name for it is "partial small subunit ribosomal RNA". Lineage: Eukaryota; Viridiplantae; Streptophyta; Magnoliopsida; Poales; Poaceae. The record is from RNAcentral.